RNAcentral lists this long non-coding RNA (2086 nucleotides) under Panax ginseng (ginseng). RNAcentral's name for it is "long non-coding RNA (PGIN_LNC000876)". Lineage: Eukaryota; Viridiplantae; Streptophyta; Magnoliopsida; Apiales; Araliaceae. The record is from RNAcentral.
AUCUUUAUGCAAUUGAAGCUUGCUCAAUUGAUUUCAAACGGAAAACAAAUGCGUCAUUUCUGAUCCACAGAUUAAAGUACGUUUCUUGGUUAAUUACAUUUAUUCAUGUAUCAGCUUUAUAACUAGUCUUACAUUUUUUCUUUAAUUUUCAGGCUCCUCCUUGGAAAGCUAGCCUCUGUCGGUUUAAAGGGUCUAACCCAUCAACAGAAGCUCGCUUUCUGGAUAAACACCUACAAUUCCUGCAUGAUGAAUGUAAGAGGUUUUCUGUCAAUUAUUGUUGUAAUAGUUAAUGGCAUUUGGACAUUUAAUGCUUAAAAGUUCUCUAGCCUCAAGUUACUUGACCAAAUCUUUGAUCCAAAAUGCAUGUAAUGUAAUUUAAUUAUCAACCUCUCAGACUUUUCUAGAGCAUGGGAUACCUAAGACUCCUGAAAUGGUCGUAGCACUUCUGCAAAAGGCAAGAUAUUAUUGCUCUCAUCUUUUACGGUUAACUACUAAUAACUAGUUCAUUUCAGAUUUUCAUCCACCCAUUCAAUGACUGGUCAUAUUGGACAAAUGCAUUGUGCAUCUGCUUGAACUCAAACCUGACGUCCUCUAAAAGAAUCAGUCUCAAUGUAUUAGCAUGUGGCAUAGUAUCAAUAUCCAAGGACUCAUCUUUACCCUACUUGUUCUUCUAAAUUUAUUUGUAGUCUCAUUUUUGUUGUGAUGAAAUCAUGAAAGAUCUUUAUCUUUGGAACUAUAACCAAUUUCCAGACCAUAUUUACAGCUAAAUUAUCUUAUGGACUAGUGUCCUACCCUCCUAUAUAAAGCUGCUAAUAUUGUCAUCGACAAUAAGCCUAUGACCAAGCUUCAAAUGUGCUUCCACCAGGCAACAAUUAGUGUGGGUGGACAUUUGCUAAAUGCAAUCACAAUAGAGCAUUUUAUUCUGAGGCUGCCUUGUCACUUGAAACACGUAAGUUUUAUCCUCUUCAGGUUUAUUAGAAAAGUUGUUUCCUCACACUGGGAAUGGAGAACCCUUUUCAGGGAGUACUCGUUUUUUUAGGACAAAGACUUAUUUUCUGACCUUGAUCUGUGUUCUGAAUAACAUUCUGCAAAAUCUAAGAAAACCAAUGAGAUGAAGGCUUGCAGCAUAUUUGGAUUUGAUUGGUCCAAACCCUUGGUUACGUUUGCCCUCUCUUGUGGAAGCUGGUCUUCUCCUGCUGUAAGUUGGGUGAACCUUUGUAUUAUUUUGCCAGAGUUAAAUAUUCAACUAAGUUUAUUUACCUUUUCACACUUUGUGUUUUCUUUCCUUCCUAUAAUGCAAUUCUAGGAUUUUUUUGAACUGGAAAAUGAUAGCAUGGUAGCAUUGUAUGUUUAGUAUAUUUCAUUACUGCAUUAGUUUACAAAGAGUCGAAAAGUAAAAUAGUGUUACAUUUUCUGAACCUUUGGUACGAGAGUUUUAUUGUUUUUUAAUCUGCUAUUGAGAAUGGUAGUGGCGAAUUAAAAUUGAUUAUUAAAGUUUAUAGUUGUUCUGCAAAAAACCCGAGUUUGACAAGUAAACACCACCAUUAGAAAACUUCCUUCAAGAGAGACCAAAAUGAAAAAAAAUUCUCGUUUAGUAUACGACAUUGAAAAGCAAAUCGUCAGUCUACUAGAAAUACUCAUGGCACUACCCAUUUCUUCCCUUCCCCUCCACAGCCCUUGGCAUCAGCACACCCACACACAAGAAAAUUUUCCCCAUAAGAUAGCCAAUUCAGCCAUAAAUUUUGGAAUUGAUAAUUAGUUCUUGUAUACUCGAUGAUAUCGAGUUUUUAGUUUGGCCAAAUUUAUUAUGGACAUGUUCUUUUAAAUGAAGGUGAGGGUAUACACUGCAUCUCAAGUUGAGGAGGAGUUGGAAGCAGCUAAGAGAGACUAUUUACAGGCGGCAGUGGGAAUUUCAACAAACAACAAAUUAAUAAUCCCUAAGCUCUUGAAUUGGUAUCUACUUACUUGACUUUGCAAAGGACUUGGAUGCUAUGCUGGAUUGGGUAUGCCUCCAGCAACCGGAUGAGCUCAGAAACGAAACAGUUAGAUGUCUAGAGAGAAGAGGAAGAGAGCCCCUUUCACAUUU